Molecule: long non-coding RNA, 228 nt
Filed under: Fukomys damarensis (Damara mole-rat)
Lineage: Eukaryota; Metazoa; Chordata; Mammalia; Rodentia; Bathyergidae
Description: lncRNA (ENSFDAG00000024148.1)
Source: RNAcentral
GGAAAAGAACACUGGUACAGAGGACUCGCAAAUAAAGGUCGACAGCCAUAUAUUCUAAGCAGUUCUGCCCAGUGAAGUAAUACAACAGAGUGUCAGUUUGCAAGGGCUUCCCAGAAAUGUACAUGAUUUCUGCCUGCACCAACAUUCUUGGACGCUGUGGUUAGAGCUGACAGUGGACAAGGCCAGGAGAGCACAUUGGUGAAGUCUGCUAAGGUAGGUGGUGAGGUA